Molecule: long non-coding RNA, 1047 nt
Filed under: Pan troglodytes (chimpanzee)
Lineage: Eukaryota; Metazoa; Chordata; Mammalia; Primates; Hominidae
Description: long non-coding RNA NONPTRT000557
Source: RNAcentral
GCAAGGUUAUAUGAAGAGCUUUUAUUGAAGCACCAUGUUAACUAAUAGCUCCUGGUAUUUUCUGCUUCCCUUCGUAGGGAAUUUAGUUAUUUUAUUUUAUUUUAUUAUUUAGCUAAUUUAGCUAUUUUAAAAUAGCUAAAUUUUAGCUACUUUUUUUUCAAUUGACAAAGAAGGAUGUCUAAUCAAAGACUACAGCUGAUUUUUUCUCUGUUGUUUAUCUGCUUCUUCGGGGAGAGUUUCUGCAUUUGUGAUGGAACUGUCUGGACAAAGGUUGGAUGGGAGAUUCUUCCAGAAGAAGUACAUUAUUGGAAAGUUAAGCAUUCUCCAUCUCACUGCCUGCCUUAUCUUCUGGAUAAACUAUGCUGCGACUUUGCUAACAUGGAUAUAUUUCAGGGUUGUUUAUAUCUCAUUUAUAAUUUAUUACAAGCUGUCUUCUUCAUCUUAUUUGUUUUGUCUGUGCAUUACCUGUGGAAGAAAUGGAAGAAACACCAAAAAAAGCUGAAAAAGCAAGCCUCCUUAGAAAAACCUGGUAAUGAUCUAGAAAGCCCAUUGAUCAACAACAUUGACCAAACACUCCACAGAGUGGCAACCACAGCAUCAGUGAUAUACAAGAUCUGGGAGCACAGGUCUCACCAUCCUUCCUCUAAGAAAAUUAAGCACUGCAAAUUAAAGAAGAAGAGUAAAGAAGAAGGAGCCAGAAGAUACUAAAUAUAUGCAUAUGCAAAUGUAGCUUAGUCAAAUAUAGAUAUCACAAAAGAAAUCUAUCAUCUAAGGAUAAAAAUUGUUCUUUGGAAACCUUUAUAAACUUUUUGCCACAAUCUUUACUAAAAUUUUCCAAAGAAGCCUGGGUUGAAAUGUUACUUCCCAUUCAAUUAAAAAAGAACCCGGACUUACUAAAGUACUAGAGAAGAAAUUGUAUACUGUAGAAAAUGAAAUAGAGGUUCCUCUUCAAAGGGACAUUCCUCCCAGUCUAAUUCAGAAUAGACAGUAACCUCUCUUAGAAGCAAAAUUUACUCAAAGACCUGUGCUAAUAUUCUUAAAUUUUGC